UACGGAGGGUGCGAGCGUUAAUCGGAAUAACUGGGCGUAAAGGGCACGCAGGCGGGCUUUUAAGUGGGGUGUGAAAUCCCCGGGCUUAACCUGGGAAUAGCAUUUCAGACUGGGAGGCUAGAGUACUGUAGGGGGGGGUAGAAUUCCACGUGUAGCGGUGAAAUGCGUAGAGAUCUGGAGGAAUACCGAAGGCGAAGGCAGCCCCCUGGGAAAAGACUGACGCUCAUGUGCGAAAGCGUGGGGAGCAAACAGG
This 253-nucleotide ribosomal RNA is filed under the name uncultured bacterium. Its description in RNAcentral is "partial 16S ribosomal RNA". It matches the Rfam family "Bacterial small subunit ribosomal RNA", at positions 524 to 776 of the family's 1533-position model. The record is from RNAcentral.